Molecule: ribosomal RNA, 301 nt
Filed under: uncultured bacterium
Lineage: Bacteria
Description: partial 16S ribosomal RNA
Rfam family: Bacterial small subunit ribosomal RNA
Source: RNAcentral
CAGUAGCCGCGGUAAUACGUAGGGUGCGAGCGUUAAUCGGAAUUACUGGGCGUAAAGCGUGCGCAGGCGGUUAUGUAAGACAGUUGUGAAAUCCCCGGGCUCAACCUGGGAACUGCAUCUGUGACUGCAUAGCUAGAGUACGGUAGAGGGGGAUGGAAUUCCGCGUGUAGCAGUGAAAUGCGUAGAUAUGCGGAGGAACACCGAUGGCGAAGGCAAUCCCCUGGACCUGUACUGACGCUCAUGCACGAAAGCGUGGGGAGCAAACAGUAUUAGAUACCCGAGUAGUCCCUGUCUCUUAUAC